UAUAUACUGUCUCAUAUAUAUAUUUACGAAUUUAAAAUUUUAAUAAAAAUGUUAAAAUUUAUUUAUGGGACGAUAAGACCCUAUAGAAUUUUAUAUUAAUUUAUUUAUUUAAUUAAUAAAUAAUUUAAAUUAAUAUUUAAUUGGGAGGAUUAUUAAAUUUAAAAAACUUUAAUUUAUAUAAACUUUAAUUAAAGAAAAUAUUAUGAUCUUGAAUUUUAAAUUAUUAGAAUAAAUUACCUUAGGGAUAACAGCGUAAUAUUUUUUUAUAGAUCUUAUAGAAAAAAAUGAUUGCGACCUCGAUGUUGAAUUAAGA
This 313-nucleotide ribosomal RNA is filed under the name Austroplebeia sp. australis_C35. RNAcentral's name for it is "partial 16S ribosomal RNA". Lineage: Eukaryota; Metazoa; Arthropoda; Insecta; Hymenoptera; Apidae. The record is from RNAcentral. RNAcentral also lists the same sequence under 5 other names.